UAGGGAAUCUUCCGCAAUGGGCGAAAGCCUGACGGAGCAACGCCGCGUGAGUGAUGAAGGUCUUCGGAUCGUAAAACUCUGUUAUUAGGGAAGAACAUAUGUGUAAGUAACUGUGCACAUCUUGACGGUACCUAAUCAGAAAGCCACGGCUAACUACGUGCUAGCAGCCGCGGUAAU
Molecule: ribosomal RNA, 177 nt
Filed under: uncultured Staphylococcus sp.
Lineage: Bacteria; Bacillati; Bacillota; Bacilli; Caryophanales; Staphylococcaceae
Description: partial 16S ribosomal RNA
Rfam family: Bacterial small subunit ribosomal RNA
Source: RNAcentral